Molecule: microRNA precursor, 136 nt
Filed under: Oryza sativa (Asian cultivated rice)
Lineage: Eukaryota; Viridiplantae; Streptophyta; Magnoliopsida; Poales; Poaceae
Description: miR5074 stem-loop (osa-MIR5074)
Source: miRBase by way of RNAcentral
CGUCAUUCGGGAAGGCCACCGUCGGGAUCGCCAAGUCGUCGCCGUCCCCGUCCGCCGCUUCGCCGUCGCCGAAGAUCGCCGGAGCACCGUCGCCGCCGUCGACCCGAUCUCCGCCGCCGCUUCUUCCUCGUCGCCG